Molecule: microRNA precursor, 158 nt
Filed under: Daucus carota subsp. sativus
Lineage: Eukaryota; Viridiplantae; Streptophyta; Magnoliopsida; Apiales; Apiaceae
Description: sRNA DCAR_mi00240
Source: RNAcentral
GCAACUGAAUUUCUGAUUUCGAGUUCCAGUUUUCAAAUGUCAUUUUCGACCUCAUAUUUGGAGUCGUUAUUUAUAUAUAUAUAUAUAUAGAUUCUCCAAAUAUGAGGUCGAAAAUGACAUUUGAAAACUGGAACUCGAAAUCAGGAUUUGUAGUUGCA